CCUACGGGGGGCAGCAGUGAGGAAUAUUGGUCAAUGGUCGGGAGACUGAACCAGCCAAGCCGCGUGAGGGAGGAAGGUACAGAGUAUCGUAAACCUCUUUUGUCAGGGAACAAAGACUGGGACGCGUCCCCGGAUGAGUGUACCUGAAGAAAAAGCAUCGGCUAACUCCGUGCCAGCAGCCGCGGUAAUACGGAGGAUGCGAGGGUUAUCCGGAUUUAUUGGGUUUAAGGGGUGCGCAGGCGGUCUGUUAAGUCAGCGGUCAAAGCCCGGGGCACAACCCCGGCCCGCCGUUGAAACUGGGAGGCUAGAGUUGGAGAGAAGUAUGCGGAAUGCGCGGUGUAGCGGUGAAAUGCAUAGAUAUCGCGCAGAACUCCGAUUGCGAAGGCAGCAUGCCGGAUCCACACUGACGCUGAGGCACGAAAGCGUGGGUAUCGAACAGGAUUAGAUACCCCGGUAGUC
RNAcentral lists this ribosomal RNA (459 nucleotides) under uncultured bacterium. Its description in RNAcentral is "partial 16S ribosomal RNA". It matches the Rfam family "Bacterial small subunit ribosomal RNA", at positions 338 to 795 of the family's 1533-position model. The record is from RNAcentral.